UCACUGCAGCGAACCAUCUUAUCUCGUACCCAAUUGAGACAGCUUCGUAAACAACACAAAUUUGAUGUCUUCUCUUGUUAGUUUUCCAAGCUGCCAACACAGCAGAAAGGUGUAAGAUUAAGCAAACUACGUCAACAUUAUUUCUUCCCAGUAUUGCGGCAAAAACAAAUUGCUUUAG
This is a long non-coding RNA of Bactrocera latifrons, 178 nucleotides long. RefSeq lists it as uncharacterized. The transcript has 2 exons. The record is from RefSeq and is a predicted model, not a curated record. Lineage: Eukaryota; Metazoa; Arthropoda; Insecta; Diptera; Tephritidae.